This 465-nucleotide ribosomal RNA is filed under the name uncultured Bacteroidota bacterium. Its description in RNAcentral is "bacterial SSU rRNA". It matches the Rfam family "Bacterial small subunit ribosomal RNA", at positions 28 to 481 of the family's 1533-position model. Lineage: Bacteria; Pseudomonadati; Bacteroidota. The record is from RNAcentral.
GAUGAACGCUAGCGGCAGGCCUAACACAAUGCAAGUCGAACGGUAACAUAGAUUGCUUGCAAUCUGAUGACGAGUGGCGGCACGGGGUGCGUAACGCGUAUAGAAUCUACCUUAUACAGGGGGAUAGCCUUUGGAAACGAAGAUUAAUACCCCAUAGUAUUGUUAAGUGGCAUCGUUUAACAAUUAAAACUCCGGUGGUAUAAGAUGACUAUGCGUCCUAUUAGCUAGUUGGUAUGGUAACGGCAUACCAAGGCUACGAUAGGUAGGGGUCCUGAGAGGGAGAUCCCCCACACUGGUACUGAGACACGGACCAGACUCCUACGGGAGGCAGCAGUGAGGAAUAUUGGACAAUGGUCGGAAGACUGAUCCAGCCAUGCCGCGUGCAGGAAGACUGCCCUAUGGGUUUGUAAACUGCUUUUUAUACAGGAAGAAUAAGGAGCUCGUGAGCUCUGAUGACGGUACUGU